UCCCGUGUUAAUUAGCAAAUAAAAUAUAUAAAAUAGUGAAAGAUUCCUAAUAAAAGAAAAGCAAUUAUGGAAAAAAAAAAAGAAAAAGGAACGUGUAAAGAAGUAUCAGCCGUGUCCAAGUUGGGACUCAAAGUGUCCAUAUUUUCUUUUUUUUUGCAAAACGGCCCCAACACCCCACCCCAAUACUUUAUGUAAAUUCGGAUUCGGCCCGACACCGUGUCCGAGCCGUGUCCUGGCGAGUCCGCGCGAGUCGGGUGUCCGACACUUGGACUCUUCAGGUUUUUGAAGAGUCCGUGCAUCCUAGGUUA
Molecule: long non-coding RNA, 308 nt
Filed under: Erythranthe guttata (spotted monkey flower)
Lineage: Eukaryota; Viridiplantae; Streptophyta; Magnoliopsida; Lamiales; Phrymaceae
Description: long non-coding RNA (EGUT_LNC000648)
Source: RNAcentral